This 439-nucleotide ribosomal RNA is filed under the name uncultured Paenibacillus sp. RNAcentral describes it as "bacterial SSU rRNA". It matches the Rfam family "Bacterial small subunit ribosomal RNA", at positions 358 to 789 of the family's 1533-position model. Lineage: Bacteria; Bacillati; Bacillota; Bacilli; Caryophanales; Paenibacillaceae. The record is from RNAcentral.
GGAAUCUUCCGCAAUGGACGCAAGUCUGACGGAGCAACGCCGCGUGAGUGAUGAAGGUUUUCGGAUCGUAAAGCUCUGUUGCCAGGGAAGAACGUCCGAUAGAGUAACUGCUAUCGGAGUGACGGUACCUGAGAAGAAAGCCCCGGCUAACUACGUGCCAGCAGCCGCGGUAAUACGUAGGGGGCAAGCGUUGUCCGGAAUUAUUGGGCGUAAAGCGCGCGCAGGCGGCUUUUUAAGUCCGGUGUCACAGCCCAAGGCUCAACCUUGGGUCGCACUGGAAACUGGAGAGCUUGAGUACAGAAGAGGAAAGUGGAAUUCCACGUGUAGCGGUGAAAUGCGUAGAGAUGUGGAGGAACACCAGUGGCGAAGGCGACUUUCCGGGCUGUAACUGACGCUGAGGCGCGAAAGCGUGGGGAGCAAACAGGAUUAGAUACCCCUG